Molecule: ribosomal RNA, 460 nt
Filed under: uncultured bacterium
Lineage: Bacteria
Description: partial 16S ribosomal RNA
Rfam family: Bacterial small subunit ribosomal RNA
Source: RNAcentral
CCUACGGGGAGCUGCAGUGAGGAAUAUUGGUCAAUGGACGAGAGUCUGAACCAGCCAAGUAGCGUGAAGGAUGACUGCCCUAUGGGUUGUAAACUUCUUUUAUAUGGGAAUAAAAUGUUCCAAGUGUGGGAUUUUGUAUGUACCAUAUGAAUAAGGAUCGGCUAACUCCGGGCCAGCAGCCGCGGUAAUACGGAGGAUCCGAGCGUUAUCCGGAUUUAUUGGGUUUAAAGGGAGCGUAGGUGGAUUGUUAAGUCAGUUGUGAAAGUUUGCGGCUCAACCGUAAAAUUGCAGUUGAAACUGGCAGUCUUGAGUACAGUAGAGGUGGGCGGAAUUCGUGGUGUAGCGGUGAAAUGCUUAGAUAUCACGAAGAACUCCGAUUGCGAAGGCAGCUCACUGGACUGCAACUGACACUGAGGCUCGAAAGUGUGGGUAGCAAACAGGAUUAGAUACCCUAGUAGUC